UGUAAACAAGUACUUUUCAUUAGCUGACAAGCUUGAAUUUUAUGUUGUCAUAUUAUUAAUUAAAACAAUAUUUGAAUAAUAUUUUUACUUAAUUAAAAUUACCUAUUAUUUGCUACUUAAUAAUUAGUAAUUGGUUUUGUUCAUUCAACUUGCUGCAAAUAACCAUCAUCCAUUGUUGUUAAUAUUAUGUUAUUAUCAGUAUUUUUUUAUUUUUUCAAUUGUCAUGGCGAAUCAAGAUCAAAAAUUGGUUGCUCAAGUGACAGAUGGUCCAACAAUCAAAUCUAAAACUAUACUGCUCUAACUUCUUAUGACUAAUAUAUUUUAAAUGACAAUGAAAAUUACAUGAUGAUGGUACUCAAUCUUGGUUUUACAAACAUCUCAAGUCAGAGCUUAGAAAUGUACCGAAUGAUACUCGUGAUACUUUAUAAUGCUUUGAAUUAUAUUGCACUUGUUUAUUUAGUACAAUGAUAAUAAAGAAAAUUUUUACUAUUAUUAUAUAA
RNAcentral lists this long non-coding RNA (500 nucleotides) under Aphidius gifuensis. Its description in RNAcentral is "uncharacterized LOC122854995". The record is from RNAcentral. Lineage: Eukaryota; Metazoa; Arthropoda; Insecta; Hymenoptera; Braconidae.